UUCUCUCUCUCUCUCUCUCUCUCUCUCUCCCUCUCAGAGUGACCCAAUCGACAUCAAAAUCGAAGCGAUGGCAAAAAGCAAUUGCCGAAUGACCAGAAACACAGAAGAAGGAGGAGGCAGAGAGAGAGAGAGAGAGAGAGAGAGAA
RNAcentral lists this microRNA precursor (146 nucleotides) under Drosophila guanche. Lineage: Eukaryota; Metazoa; Arthropoda; Insecta; Diptera; Drosophilidae. The record is from RNAcentral.